Molecule: ribosomal RNA, 426 nt
Filed under: uncultured bacterium
Lineage: Bacteria
Description: bacterial SSU rRNA
Rfam family: Bacterial small subunit ribosomal RNA
Source: RNAcentral
UAGGGAAUCUUGCGCAAUGGGCGAAAGCCUGACGCAGCAACGCCGCGUGGGGGACGAAUGCUUUCUGAGUUGUAAACCCCUUUCAGCAGGGACGAUUGUGACGGUACCUGCAGAAGAAGCACCGGCCAACUACGUGCCAGCAGCCGCGGUGAUACGUAGGGUGCAAGCGUUGUCCGGAUUUAUUGGGCGUAAAGAGCUCGUAGGCGGUUUGGUAAGUCGGGUGUGAAAUCCCCAGGCUCAACCUGGGGCUGCCAUCCGAUACUGCCAUGACUUGAGUCCGGUAGGGGACCAUGGAAUUCCUGGUGUAGCGGUGAAAUGCGCAGAUAUCAGGAGGAACACCAGUAGCGAAGGCGGUGGUCUGGGCCGGUACUGACGCUGAGGAGCGAAAGCGUGGGGAGCGAACAGGAUUAGAUACCCCCGUAGUCC